This 31-nucleotide non-coding RNA is filed under the name Mus musculus (house mouse). The record is from RNAcentral. Lineage: Eukaryota; Metazoa; Chordata; Mammalia; Rodentia; Muridae.
UCCUCUGGACCAGGUGAAACAGCUUGAUAAU